UGACGAACGCUGGCGGCGUGCUUAACACAUGCAAGUCGAACGGAAAGGCCCUUCGGGGUACUCGAGUGGCGAACGGGUGAGUAACACGUGGGUGAUCUGCCCUGCACUUUGGGAUAAGCCUGGGAAACUGGGUCUAAUACCGAAUAGGACCGCAUGCUUCAUGGUGUGUGGUGGAAAGCUUUUGCGGUGUGGGAUGGGCCCGCGGCCUAUCAGCUUGUUGGUGGGGUAAUGGCCUACCAAGGCGACGACGGGUAGCCGGCCUGAGAGGGUGUCCGGCCACACUGGGACUGAGAUACGGCCCAGACUCCUACGGGAGGCAGCAGUGGGGAAUAUUGCACAAUGGGCGCAAGCCUGAUGCAGCGACGCCGCGUGAGGGAUGACGGCCUUCGGGUUGUAAACCUCUUUCAGCAGGGACGAAGCGCAAGUGACGGUACCUGUAGAAGAAGCACCGGCCAACUACGUGCCAGCAGCCGCGGUAAUACGUAGGGUGCGAGCGUUGUCCGGAAUUACUGGGCGUAAAGAGCUCGUAGGUGGUUUGUCGCGUUGUUCGUGAAAACUCACAGCUCAACUGUGGGCGUGCGGGCGAUACGGGCAGACUUGAGUACUGCAGGGGAGACUGGAAUUCCUGGUGUAGCGGUGGAAUGCGCAGAUAUCAGGAGGAACACCGGUGGCGAAGGCGGGUCUCUGGGCAGUAACUGACGCUGAGGAGCGAAAGCGUGGGGAGCGAACAGGAUUAGAUACCCUGGUAGUCCACGCCGUAAACGGUGGGUACUAGGUGUGGGUUUCCUUCCUUGGGAUCCGUGCCGUAGCUAACGCAUUAAGUACCCCGCCUGGGGAGUACGGCCGCAAGGCUAAAACUCAAAGAAAUUGACGGGGGCCCGCACAAGCGGCGGAGCAUGUGGAUUAAUUCGAUGCAACGCGAAGAACCUUACCUGGGUUUGACAUGCACAGGACGCCGGCAGAGAUGUCGGUUCCCUUGUGGCCUGUGUGCAGGUGGUGCAUGGCUGUCGUCAGCUCGUGUCGUGAGAUGUUGGGUUAAGUCCCGCAACGAGCGCAACCCUUGUCUCAUGUUGCCAGCACGUAAUGGUGGGGACUCGUGAGAGACUGCCGGGGUCAACUCGGAGGAAGGUGGGGAUGACGUCAAGUCAUCAUGCCCCUUAUGUCCAGGGCUUCACACAUGCUACAAUGGCCGGUACAAAGGGCUGCGAUGCCGUGAGGUGGAGCGAAUCCUUUCAAAGCCGGUCUCAGUUCGGAUCGGGGUCUGCAACUCGACCCCGUGAAGUCGGAGUCGCUAGUAAUCGCAGAUCAGCAACGCUGCGGUGAAUACGUUCCCGGGCCUUGUACACACCGCCCGUCACGUCAUGAAAGUCGGUAACACCCGAAGCCGGUGGCCUAACCCC
RNAcentral lists this ribosomal RNA (1400 nucleotides) under Mycobacterium sp. CP-2. RNAcentral's name for it is "bacterial SSU rRNA". It matches the Rfam family "Bacterial small subunit ribosomal RNA". Lineage: Bacteria; Bacillati; Actinomycetota; Actinomycetes; Mycobacteriales; Mycobacteriaceae. The record is from RNAcentral.